UUUAGUCAGGCAACGAGCGAGACCCACGCCAACAGUUGCCAGCAUGUCCUCCGGGAUGGUGGGGACACUGUUGGGACCGCCUCUGCUAAAGAGGAGGAAGGAAUGGGCAACGGUAGGUCAGCAUGCCCCGAAUUAUCCGGGCUACACGCGGGCUACAAUGGUCAGGACAAUGGGUAUCGACACCGAAAGGUGAAGGCAAUCUCCUAAACCCAUCCUUAGUUCGGAUUGUGGGCUGCAACUCGCCCACAUGAAGCUGGAAUCCGUAGUAAUCGUGUCUCAAAAUGGCACGGUGAAUAUGUCCCUGCUCCUUGCACA
RNAcentral lists this ribosomal RNA (315 nucleotides) under uncultured euryarchaeote. RNAcentral describes it as "bacterial SSU rRNA". It matches the Rfam family "Archaeal small subunit ribosomal RNA", at positions 1029 to 1343 of the family's 1478-position model. The record is from RNAcentral. Lineage: Archaea; Methanobacteriati; Methanobacteriota.